This 253-nucleotide ribosomal RNA is filed under the name uncultured bacterium. RNAcentral's name for it is "partial 16S ribosomal RNA". It matches the Rfam family "Bacterial small subunit ribosomal RNA", at positions 524 to 776 of the family's 1533-position model. The record is from RNAcentral.
GACGUAGGAUGCAAGUGUUAUCCGGAAUCACUGGGCGUAAAGCGUCUGUAGGUGGUUUAAUAAGUCAACUGUUAAAUCUUGAGGCUCAACCUCAAAAUCGCAGUCGAAACUAUUAGGCUAGAGUAUAGUAGGGGUAAAGGGAAUUUCCAGUGGAGCGGUGAAAUGCGUAGAGAUUGGAAAGAACACCGAUGGCGAAGGCACUUUACUGGGCUAUUACUAACACUCAGAGACGAAAGCUAGGGUAGCAAAUGGG